This 76-nucleotide transfer RNA is filed under the name Clostridiales bacterium. RNAcentral describes it as "tRNA-Phe". It matches the Rfam family "tRNA". From Rfam's summary of the family: Transfer RNA (tRNA) molecules are approximately 80 nucleotides in length. Their secondary structure includes four short double-helical elements and three loops (D, anti-codon, and T loops). Lineage: Bacteria; Bacillati; Bacillota; Clostridia; Eubacteriales. RNAcentral also lists the same sequence under 1 other name. The record is from RNAcentral.
GGCUUCAUAGCUCAGUUGGUAGAGCAGGAGACUGAAAAUCUCCGUGUCAGUGGUUCGAUUCCACUUGAAGCCACCA